Molecule: non-coding RNA, 936 nt
Organism: Microcebus murinus (gray mouse lemur)
Lineage: Eukaryota; Metazoa; Chordata; Mammalia; Primates; Cheirogaleidae
Source: RefSeq, a predicted model, not a curated record
CCAUCGAUGUCACUUAGUUCCUCUAGGUUUGUCUCCGCCACUUGCCCGAUACAUACUCUGCCAUCAUAAGCCGCUAUCAUAGUGAAGCUCGCAAAGGCAAGUAAAAAUCAAGGUGACCCCAAGAAAAUGGCUCCUCCCCCAAAGGAGGUAGAAGAAGAUAGUGAAGAUGAGGAAAUGUCAGAAGAUGAAGAUGAUGACAGCAGUGAAGAAGAGGUUAUCAUCCCUCAGAAGAAAGGCAAGAGGGCUACUGCAACCUCAGCAAAGAAGGUGGUGGUUUCUCCACCAAAAAGGUUGCAGUUGCCACACCUUCGAAGAAAGCAGCUGUCACCCCAGGCAAAAAGGCAGCAGCCACACCGGCCAAGAAGAUGGUCACAUCAGCCAACGCAGUUGUGACACCUGGCAAAAAGGGAGCCACACAAGGCUCCCUGGUAGCAACCCCUGGUAAGGAGGGAGCUGCCACCCCAGCCAAGGGGGCAAAGGAUGGCAAGAAUGCCAAGACGGAAGACAGUGAUGACGAGGAGGAUGACAGCAAGGAGGACGACGAGGAUGAUGAUGAAGAGGAGGAGGAAUUUGAACGAGCAGUGAUUAAAGCAGCAGCUGCUGCCCCUGCCUCACAGGAUAAGGACUAUGAGGAUGAUGAAGAUGAAGAGGAUGAGGAUGAUGAUGAUGAUGAAGAAGAUGACUCCGAAGAAGGAUCUAUGGAGACCACACCAGCCAAAGGAAAGAAAACUGCAAAAGCUGUACCUGUGAAAGCUAAGAGCACACCUGAGGAUGAAAAAUGAAGAGGAGGAAGAUGAGGAUGAGGAUGAUGAUGAGGAAGAGGAGGAGGAGGAAGAACCUGUCAAAGAAGCACCUGGAAAACGAAAGAAGGAAAUGACCAAACAGAAAGCAGCUCCUGAAGCCAAGAAACAGAAAGUGGGAGCCACAGAACCAACU